AGUGAACGCUGGCGGUAGGCCUAACACAUGCAAGUCGAACGGCAGCACAGUAAGAGCUUGCUCUUACGGGUGGCGAGUGGCGGACGGGUGAGGAAUACAUCGGAAUCUACUUUUUCGUGGGGGAUAACGUAGGGAAACUUACGCUAAUACCGCAUACGACCUACGGGUGAAAGCAGGGGAUCUUCGGACCUUGCGCGAUUGAAUGAGCCGAUGUCGGAUUAGCUAGUUGGCGGGGUAAAGGCCCACCAAGGCGACGAUCCGUAGCUGGUCUGAGAGGAUGAUCGGCGACACUGGAACUGGGACACGGUCCAGACUCCUACGGGAGGCAGCAGUGGGGAAUAUUGGACAAUGGGCGCAAGCCUGAUCCAGCCAUACCGCGUGGGUGAAGAAGGCCUUCGGGUUGUAAAGCCCUUUUGUUGGGAAAGAAAAGCAGCAGGUUAAUACCCCGCUGUUCUGACGGUACCCAAAGAAUAAGCACCGGCUAACUUCGUG
RNAcentral lists this ribosomal RNA (492 nucleotides) under uncultured bacterium. RNAcentral's name for it is "partial 16S ribosomal RNA". It matches the Rfam family "Bacterial small subunit ribosomal RNA", at positions 29 to 507 of the family's 1533-position model. The record is from RNAcentral.